GAAAGAUGAAAAGAACUUUGAAAAGAGAGUUAAACAGUACGUGAAAUUGUUGAAAGGGAAACGAUUGAAGCCAGUCGUACCUUCGGGUAAUCAGCCUUUCGGGUGCGAUUCUGUGGAGUGUGAGGAGCUUAAACACCUUCAUGUUUUGCAUAUUCGUGCACUUUGGGUGUACUUGCCCGUAUGGUUGGUUAACAUCAAUUUUGGUGGUCAUAAAAUGACUGGAGGAAUGUAGCUUCGAUCUUGUAUUGAAGUGUUAUA
Molecule: ribosomal RNA, 258 nt
Filed under: uncultured Rhizophagus
Lineage: Eukaryota; Fungi; Glomeromycota; Glomeromycetes; Glomerales; Glomeraceae
Description: partial large subunit ribosomal RNA
Rfam family: Eukaryotic large subunit ribosomal RNA
Source: RNAcentral